UCGGCCUUAGUGGCGGACGGGUGAGUAACGCGUAGGAAUCUAUCCAUGGGUGGGGGAUAACUCUGGGAAACUGGAGCUAAUACCGCAUGAUACCUGAGGGUCAAAGGCGCGAGUCGCCUGUGGAGGAGCCUGCGUUCGAUUAGCUUGUUGGUGGGGUAAUGGCCUACCAAGGCGAUGAUCGAUAGCUGGUCUGAGAGGAUGAUCAGCCACACUGGGACUGAGACACGGCCCAGACUCCUACGGGAGGCAGCAGUGGGGAAUAUUGGACAAUGGGGGCAACCCUGAUCCAGCAAUGCCGCGUGUGUGAAGAAGGUUUUCGGAUUGUAAAGCACUUUCGGCGGGGACGAUGAUGACGGUACCCGCAGAAGAAGCCCCGGCUAACUUCGUGCCAGCAGCCGCGGUAAUACGAAGGGGGCUAGCGUUGCUCGGAAUGACUGGGCGUAAAGGGCGUGUAGGCGGUUUGUACAGUCAGAUGUGAAAUCCCCGGGCUUAACCUGGGAGCUGCAUUUGAUACGUGCAGACUAGAGUGUGAGAGAGGGUUGUGGAAUUCCCAGUGUAG
RNAcentral lists this ribosomal RNA (559 nucleotides) under Acetobacter tropicalis. RNAcentral's name for it is "bacterial SSU rRNA". It matches the Rfam family "Bacterial small subunit ribosomal RNA", at positions 86 to 678 of the family's 1533-position model. The record is from RNAcentral. Lineage: Bacteria; Pseudomonadati; Pseudomonadota; Alphaproteobacteria; Acetobacterales; Acetobacteraceae.